GACCUCUAAUCGGAAAAGACUACACGCCGAGUUUAA
This 36-nucleotide ribosomal RNA is filed under the name Anomobryum filiforme. RNAcentral's name for it is "partial 26S ribosomal RNA". The record is from RNAcentral. Lineage: Eukaryota; Viridiplantae; Streptophyta; Bryopsida; Bryales; Bryaceae.